This 572-nucleotide ribosomal RNA is filed under the name Pseudomonadales bacterium HD-O-03-17. RNAcentral's name for it is "bacterial SSU rRNA". It matches the Rfam family "Bacterial small subunit ribosomal RNA", at positions 82 to 649 of the family's 1533-position model. The record is from RNAcentral. Lineage: Bacteria; Pseudomonadati; Pseudomonadota; Gammaproteobacteria; Pseudomonadales.
GCUUCUCUUGAGAGCGGCGGACGGGUGAGUAAUGCCUAGGAAUCUGCCUAGUGGUGGGGGAUAACGUUCGGAAACGGACGCUAAUACCGCAUACGUCCUACGGGAGAAAGCGGGGGACCUUCGGGCCUCGCGCCAUUAGAUGAGCCUAGGUCGGAUUAGCUAGUUGGUGAGGUAAUGGCUCACCAAGGCUACGAUCCGUAACUGGUCUGAGAGGAUGAUCAGUCACACUGGAACUGAGACACGGUCCAGACUCCUACGGGAGGCAGCAGUGGGGAAUAUUGGACAAUGGGCGAAAGCCUGAUCCAGCCAUGCCGCGUGUGUGAAGAAGGUCUUCGGAUUGUAAAGCACUUUAAGUUGGGAGGAAGGGUAGUAACUUAAUACGUUGCUACUUUGACGUUACCGACAGAAUAAGCACCGGCUAACUUCGUGCCAGCAGCCGCGGUAAUACGAAGGGUGCAAGCGUUAAUCGGAAUUACUGGGCGUAAAGCGCGCGUAGGUGGUUCAGUAAGUUGAAUGUGAAAUCCCCGGGCUCAACCUGGGAACUGCAUCCCAAAACUGCUGAACUAGAGUAC